Molecule: ribosomal RNA, 468 nt
Filed under: uncultured bacterium
Lineage: Bacteria
Description: partial 16S ribosomal RNA
Rfam family: Bacterial small subunit ribosomal RNA
Source: RNAcentral
GACGAACGCUGGCGGCGUGCUUAACACAUGCAAGUCGAACGGAAAGGCCCUGCUUUUGUGGGGUGCUCGAGUGGCGAACGGGUGAGUAACACGUGAGUAACCUGCCCUUGACUUUGGGAUAACUUCAGGAAACUGGGGCUAAUACCGGAUAGGAGCUCCUGCUGCAUGGUGGGGGUUGGAAAGUUUCGGCGGUUGGGGAUGGACUCGCGGGUUAUCAGCUUGUUGGUGGGGUAGUGGCUUAACAAGGCUUUGACGGGUAGCCGGCCUGAGAGGGUGACCGGCCACAUUGGGACUGAGAUACGGCCCAGACUCCUACGGGAGGCAGCAGUGGGGAAUAUGGCGCAAUGGGGGGGAGCCUGAUGCGGCAACGCCGCGUGCGGGAUGACGGCCUUCGGGUGAAAAACCGCUUUCGCCUGAGACGAAGCGUGAGUGACGGUAAUGGGUAAAGAAGCACCGGCUAACUACGUG